UAUGGAAUGAUGUUUUACAGAAAUUUUUGUCAUAUAGGUUUCUGGGUAUACGCAAAAUAUUUUGUCAAGGUCCUGUGACAGUGUAAUAUCACCUGUGGCAAUGACAGAAACUGCUGAGAAUGAUUCAAAAAAUGGGGACAUGGCUGUCCCUGAUAAAACAGAUGAAAAACUAAUCAGACGAAUAGUACGUCAAGUUGAGUUCUACUUCGGAGAUUACAAUUUGAUGCGAGACAAUUUUAUGAGAGAUGAAAUGAAAAAAGAUGAAGGCUGGUUUACAAUGGAGACAAUGUUAAAAUUCAAAAGAUUAUCAUCUAUUUGUUCUGAACCAUUAACCAUAAUAGAAGCAUUGAAAACAUCAAAAAUUGGAUUAUUAGAGAUUGAUGCAGAAAAUCAUAGAAUUCGAAGGAAACCGAAUCGUGAAAUUCCUGAAGAUAAUGAAGAAUACAGAAGAAAAGUUAAAGCUAGAACAGUUCAUAUUAAUGGCUUCCAAAGUGAAGAAAACAUUGAUGAUGUAAAUGAUUUUCUUGCAACAUAUGGAAGAAUAGAAGGUGUUCAGUUACAAAGGACAAGUGAUAAAAAAUUUAAGGGUUCAUUAUUUGCAACAUUUUUCAAACAAGAGGAUGCUGAUAGUUUUAUUCAAGCUCCAAUGGUUUAUUAUAAAGUUUGUGAACUGACCAAAAUGUCAAAAUCUGAUUAUUAUCAUCAAUUGAAUGAUUCCAGACAAUCUGAGAAAAAGAAAAGAAAAAUUUCAGAUGAAUCUCAAUCGAAGCAUGAUGAUCUUAAAGGAACAGUAGCUUUGAAGGUUUCUGGCAUCACUGAUGACACCAUCAUUCAUACUGAUGUGAAGCAAGUCUUUGAAUCAAGCGAUGUCCAUACCAUUCGAUUUUUUGACAGAUUGAGCAAGAUGGGCAGUGAGGGUUACUUGAUAUUCCAAGAUGAACGCAAGCCUGAAGAACUGCUAGAGAUACUUAAGCAGAACAAAGGUGAUACAAAAGUUACUCUCAAAAUCAGCAGAGGUAGAGUUCUCUGUACCAACACCGGAAGAAAACCAGAAUAUUGGAGAGCAAUAUGUUGAGGCCAGACAAAGAACAUUUGGAAGAAAAGGUAAGAAGAAUCCAAGAGGGCACAAAUACAAUAAAUUUCAUAAAAAGAGGUCAGGAGAUAAAGUUGGAGGAAAGAGAACAACAUUUGACAGCGACGAAGAAAGAGAAGCUGAUCAAGAUCAACCAUCUGCAAAAAUCAUUAGAACAGAAAAUUCUGAAUCAAAAGAAGUUGAAGGUUGCUGAAAAAACAAUUAUAGUAUCUUCAAUUGGUACAUCAUGUCAAAAGGUCUUUUUUAGUGGAAACCUGUUUCUGCAAUCCACUUCUUUUGGUUGUCUGUCCAAAUUGGGCUUAUGUUGGAGAACAUUGCACAGCCAAGUUAAUGUAUCAUGAGGACUUUAGGUAAAUAGAAUUUGAUGAUAUGAUGUAAUAAUACUAAUGACUGGGAACUACUAUUCAAUUUUAAAAAAACUUCAAAAGGAAAAUAUUUAAUGACAACAACAUUAACUUUUCUCACUUUUUCAAGUAUUCUUUAUCUGUUCCAGCCCCACAAAUGUCCUGUCUGCGGCAUUAAGAUAUAACAUAAAUAAAACAUUUAGCAUUCAUACUUGCUACAUGCUUAUGGGCAUGUCUGAUGAGUUUAUUUGGUGUCAUUACUUUUGAAUGAUGAUAUUUAGGUUAUUGUUUUUCAAAAAUCACAUUAAACUGUGUGGGGAAAUUACUGUAUAUUCUCUCGCAAGAAAUGUAUUCUGUCAGAAGUGAUAAAAUUGGAGCGAUUGGAAAUUGUUGCCAUUGAUCAUACAGGGAUAUCAUCAUACAGUGCAAAAUUUACUUACCCUGUCAUGAAUGUUCAAGAUUAUCCACUGGAUGUCAUUUUUUUCCCCCUAUUUUCAAUAAAACUGCCUUGAGACAUUGGAUAGUAAGUCAUCAGUAUAAAAUAUACAGUGGAUGAAGUAAUGAUGUAAAUAAAUUUUGGUAUGCUUCCCUUUCCAUAAAAGGUAUCUAAGUUCUUGAGUAAUCAUCUGUGUUUGAAACACGCACCUUCAUCAAAAUACUAAAAUAUGUGUUUUUCUGACAUAUAUGCAGAGAUGGCUCAUGUCUGCCUAUUAUUUAUUUGACGAAUAUAAUCCUUCACAAAGUUUCAGUGUUUUCAGGGUCAAAAUAUUUGGCAGAUAUCAGCACUGCAAAAUCAUCAAAUUUUGAAAAUUUGUCACAUUUUUGUUUCAUAUGUUUAUUUUGGUUACUGGUGCUCAGUUUUUGGAUUUUCAGUUCAAAUGAUUUAUCCAAUAUCCUUUUUUGUAUUUGUUCUUCAACUUUUAAAUGCAUUGUGUCAUUUAAGUUUGAAAGGUUCUGUAACUUAUGUGUUAGUGGAUAAUAUUUUCCAAAUUUCUAUGAUCAAGGCUAUUCAGUGUAGUUUUCAAACAGUCACAGUUGGUGUCCAAAAAUAAAUUUUACAAUAAAAAUUCUGCUUAUUUCUGUUAGUAAUUUCAUGUAGUCUGGUUGAAGUAAAAAAAAUCAUUUUUCAUGACAACACUUGAAAUUUGACAAUGGGAGCCUGAGUUCUUAGUCACUUAUUGAAAGAUGAAAUAAAUAUUGACAGAGUAAUUGA
Non-coding RNA from Styela clava, 2650 nucleotides. NCBI's taxonomy places the organism in Eukaryota, Metazoa, Chordata, Ascidiacea, Stolidobranchia, Styelidae. The record is from RefSeq and is a predicted model, not a curated record.